UACAGAGGGGGCCAGCGUUAUUCGGAAUUAUUGGGCGUAAAGGGCGCGUAGGCGGCCAUGCGUGUCUUCCGUGAAAUCCCUCGGCUUAACCGAGGACGUGCGGAAGAAACUGCAAGGCUCGGAGUCCGGGAAGAGGGGGGCGGAAUUCCCAGUGUAGCGGUGAAAUGCGUAGAUAUUGGGAGGAACACCAGUGGCGAAGGCGGUCCCCUGGGCCGGAACUGACGCUGAUGCGCGAAAGCGUGGGUAGCAAACGGGG
RNAcentral lists this ribosomal RNA (256 nucleotides) under uncultured bacterium. Its description in RNAcentral is "partial 16S ribosomal RNA". It matches the Rfam family "Bacterial small subunit ribosomal RNA", at positions 524 to 777 of the family's 1533-position model. The record is from RNAcentral.